This 225-nucleotide ribosomal RNA is filed under the name uncultured bacterium. RNAcentral describes it as "partial 16S ribosomal RNA". It matches the Rfam family "Bacterial small subunit ribosomal RNA", at positions 109 to 334 of the family's 1533-position model. The record is from RNAcentral.
AGUAACGCGUGGAUAACCUGCCUCACACUGGGGGAUAACAGUUAGAAAUGACUGCUAAUACCGCAUAAGCGCACAGUACCGCAUGGUACAGUGCGAAAAACUCCGGUGGUGUGAGAUGGAUCCGCGUCUGAUUAGCCAGUUGGCGGGGUAACGGCCCACCAAAGCGACGAUCAGUAGCCGACCUGAGAGGGUGACCGGCCACAUUGGGACUGAGACACGGCCCAA